Long non-coding RNA from Brienomyrus brachyistius, 5676 nucleotides. RefSeq lists it as uncharacterized. Lineage: Eukaryota; Metazoa; Chordata; Actinopteri; Osteoglossiformes; Mormyridae. The record is from RefSeq and is a predicted model, not a curated record. The transcript is spliced from 2 exons.
UUCUUUUCUAUUUCAAGUAGAAAAAAAAAACAUAUUUAUGUAUGUUAGACGCAUGUCUUCUUAAAAUGUUAGACAGAUUUUAUUAGCCAUGCUGAUCUUUGGCCGGGAGGAGGGUUGAUAGGGUAUACGUACAUGACACAGCCCAGUGCCCAGACUUCUGCUUCCGUUCCAUGGCCCUCUCGUUUCCACACUUCUGGAGCCAUGUAACAUGGAGUACCACACACUUUUCUACAACACACACAAAUGGAAAACGUUAAGCGCACAUGUGCUUUAGCUUGCUGUAUAAACAAAUUUGAAAGCUUAGCCAGGAAUUCUGCAAAAAACACCUACUUGUCCCUCGGCUCCAGCUUGACCGCCAGUCCAAAAUCCCCGAUUUUCAGUUUCAUUUUGUCACUGACAAAUAAGUUUUCUGAAAGACAAACAAAUUUGCAUUAAGGAUAGACUCAAAUACUUUGCCAAACUGCAGACUUUACCAAAUUGAUAAAUGAACACUACACAGAAAUCCAGACGAGCUACACUCGCAAUGCCAUGUGAAAUGCCAGCAUUAUUAAACAGAGAAUUGAGUAAAGCGUGAGUGCAUGUACACAUAUCGAACUAGAUUUCCCUAUGGACAUAACAUUGCCGGUAGAUGUGUUUUAUCCCCGAUAUCAGCUGUUGAAUGUAAUAGCGGACUUCGGGGUCAAUCAGAGUCCCGCGAGCUUUCAGGAUGUCACCAAGUGUCUGGGCAGGGAGAAACAGGGGCAGCCUGAUCCAUCACAAAGUCUUUGCCUUAGUAAGACGUCUAUAAAAGUCAGGGACUCACCUGCCUACUGCACAACUCCAUGAAAAUAUACAUGAACAGAUCGUCUUCAAAAGAAUGGGAGAAGCCCACAACGUUCUUGUGCCGUGGUUUUUUUCAAAAUUUCCACUUCUUGACACACCUGAGUGAAAUAUCAAACACACCAUCUCAUCAAGUACUGUAACAGGGAAAUGCAGAUAAACUGCAAAGAGGGAUGACAUUAAGCACAAUCCAUACCACAUACCUCCUCCAGUCCCCAGGAAUGUGGAGGUAUGACCAUCACAGCAAAGGUGUCACCACUUUCAAGGUCGGUCAUCUUGUAGCACUUGCCACAAGCACCCUAAAGAACAUGUCAAUAAAGGGCAUUUCUGACUGACCCUGUUCAAGCAUCUCCUCUCCGCAGAAAAAGAUCAACUGUAAUCACUUUCAACAACAACUUUGUGGUGCACACCUGUCCCAAAAGCGGCCAAGACAGCUGGGCAAUUUGAACUUGCUAGAUGGAUUACAUCACCACAUUGAAAAUUCCAUGGAUGGAAAAAGAGGUGAACUUGCUAAGACAUUGCAACAAAACACGGAUAAAAACUUUCAUUACAAUCAACUUCAUUGAAGAAAAAAAACCCGUCUCCGUUUUGUACACCAAACAUUCAGUUUCGGUAAUGCAGUAACACAUGCUCAGGAAUAAAGACUUUUAUGUAGUGUGCAGUGACUAUCACAUCAUAUGUUACUGCGGCUCUUUAGGCACUCAGCUAUCGGUCUCACUUUGUCAUACAGAACAGGGAUUCAUUUCCUGGUGAAAAACUUCCUAUGUGGUAUGUGAUACCUCAGCUCCAAGAUGUGGAGCAGUUAUCUAUUACACCGUAAGGCUGGAUAUUUUUACAAAUAAAGGCAGCAAUGGUGUCGGUUAUUGCCUUAGAACGAGCGGUUAGCUGGCAGGGUGUGAAAAUUAGGGCGUUUAUUUUUUUUAAAGAGUUUUGUGUUAUUUGAAAGCAUUGUGAAAUGUAAAAAAAAAAACAGUAAUGAUAUGAUGAAAAUGGGAAUACUGACGUUGACAAUGCCAAUAUAAUAUUUUGGUAUGUUAAGGCAUGUUUGUUCUCUGCUUUAAAGAAAGGGGGAUGUGUUGAUAUGUAGUGCAGUACCUUUGGUGACCAGCAGAGAGACCUGGAGGGUUGGGAGGAGGUAAAGACAAGGGGUAGGGAGACCGACGGCACAGAGCAGGUUGUGGGUUUGCAUGGAAGAUGUUGGUGGUUAAAUAAAAGUUCAUUGUUCAUGAAACAAGGUCUCUUCAAUGACAUAUGAACAACACAAUGUAUCUCUUCCUUCUCAUGAUAAUCUGACUCGCCAAACAUGCCUCCAGCUCGCGCGACGUGGCCGAGGGACUUGAGGAGAAUUAUACACUGACAGCAGUGGAGAUGAGAGCGCACUUGAAAUUAUCAGGUAAGAGAGGGUUAAUCGAGCAAAAUGUACAAUUAUUGGUCAGAAAAUGUCGGUCAAAUUUCUAAAUAAUUAUGGCGUACGAAUAAUGAUAUAUCCGUAAAUCGUAUUUUACCGAUUUAAAGAUGUUCAUUAUUCAUUGUAUUGUCACGCCCCCCUCGGGAGAAUGCAGCGGCAGCAGCCACACCUGAGUUACGUCAACUCCCUGUUUAGUUCUGCUUGGCGCUGCAUUAUAUGCAAGGUACUGUUGAGGGUUUUCAUAAGAAGUACAGGGCGGUCUUCCUCCUGUCUACCCCGAUCCGGUCCAUCUGCCUGCUUUGCUGCCAUCCCAUCCCAUCCCAUCCUGAUCCACCCGGACCUCUCCCUUGUACUUGUCCUGCGUCUCGCAUGCCACCUGUAGAACUGGCUUUUGGACUCGAUUGUACUUGCUGAUUCCAGUCCUGUUUGCGUGUUCCCAACAAUAAACCCCGUACAGUACGUUGCCUUCUGUGUCUCUACUAUCCUCCGGGGUUGCAUGUUGUGCAAUACUGUAGUAGCUUGGAUUCAACCAUUAGAUGGCAGUAGUAGCAUAUAGUUGGAGGGAAGUAGAAGAAGGCAAGAGAGGGAAGUUGAGUGUUUGUGCGUUGUUCCCGGAGCUGAUAAGUUAAUAAAUAUUGAACCUCUUGCCAUCCCCAAAUGUGUCUCGGCUGACUCUCAAUAUAUCAAAAGUACAUACCGUCUAUUUAUUUAUGUCUGCCCUUCAAACCGCUAGAUUCCUUCACUAAGCAGGAAGUUUGUCACGACAGCUGACACCAAAUCUCCUGCUGAGCUGGUUCAGACAGAACUAUCCUCAAUUCACCACGAGGGGGCGCCAACGCAGCAGCUUAGUUCUAUUGUUUCGCUUUUUCAAAGACAGUUUUUCUCUUCACAAAAGGACAACUUAACUGAAUAAUGCACUUUCAUAGUAAUUGUUUUUAAUCCGUGUUAAUGUUCUGAACAAUGACUACUAAAGGUUCUGUAAGGUUGUCCCACAUACUAUGGAUUUUAAGUUUUUUAUCAAGGUGUUAAAACGUACCAUCUAUUUUCUGCUGAAAGUUGCCAGUCCUGUGUUUUAUGUCUAGCAAUUUGUACAGUUUCUUCAGUAUGGCACAUAAACACAUGCCAUCAUCUACAGUAUGAGAAUCUCCUCCAGAACUCUGCAUUUCCUCAAGAUUUUUUUGUAAUAUUACAUAGGUGCAUCUCAUGAACCUUAAUUUGCCAAGCAUGUAUUGACUGGGCACAGUACAGUGGUGCAAUUUCUGAUAAUGAAAGAACAUCAUGGACCCCUACUCCCCAUUCCUUAACCCGAUCGAGGGGCUCUGCUCAGCAUGGAGUUAGAAGGCUUACGAUCGCUAGCCACAUGCUCAGAUGGCCCUGCUGGCUGACAUGAAUGCAGCAUGUGAGGACAUUACAGCAGAUGCCUGCAGAGGCAGGUAAGACAUUAGAAAAGAUUCCUUUUUUUCUUAUAUUUUAUUCUUUCUGUUUUUUCUUAUGUACAAAUACAUAAGUGCACAUUAGGAUGCUUUUUCACUAUUACGUAAGUUCCCAUGUGAACAGCCAAUCAGAUCAGCCUGAUGUGUGUCUUGUUCCUCUCUGUUUCCUGCCCUUUCAUCCCGACCACGACCAUGAUCUCUCACUUAGCAGCAGAGCAGUUUAUUCUAAACAGUGGAACCGCAAAGAUGUUCAGACUCUUUGGUCUUCUCAUUUUCAUUAGUAGGGUUCUAUACUAUUAAAUCAUAUUUUGGGGGGAUUUUUAUAUAUCCUGUACGAUGUGAUUAGUGUAAUAAGUAUUUGGCCAUUUAAUCUUCAUCAUAUGUAAUAGGUAUUCUGAUUAUUAUUAUGAUAUUUAUUUAUUUGUUUGUUUGUUUGUUUGUUUAUUCAUUUGUGUUUCUCUCUUUUUCCAGACACUUCACUGGCUGUGGAUGUUGUUCAGCCCAGCUACCUGAUGAGGGUCCAGCAUGGAGACAGUGUGACCCUGACAUGCUUCCGUCCAGAAGAUAUUUCUUUUGCAGUUUGGUUUUAGCAAGCUGCUGGUCAGAAGCCCCAGCUCAUCGCGAAAGCACUUCUCUACGUACCUGGCGGAACCCACCGAAUAGCCCGUCUCGAUCACGCCCACAUGGGCGGGACCAGCCAGGUGCUCCGUAGAACGCUUAAUGACGGAAUGGAUUUAAGCACUGAGCUCCAUCGGGACAUUGCGAAGUAUUGAGCCAUGCUAUUGAGCCAUACCGAGCAAUCUAUUGUCUAUCGUCUACCCGUUGCUUCCUACCUGUUCCGUCCGCCCAGUGUACUUACCUUGUCUGUUCCUCUUCCUCUUCCCAGACCCGUUCCCGAACCUGAACCUCUUGCCCCGCUGAGACCGGCUUCUCCUGGUACUCUUUCCCUGUGUUGUCGUGUCCCGUGUUUGUUCCUCUUUCGGCUUCGGACACAUGCUUCUGCCCCUCGACCAUUCUCCUCGCUUAGCCCCUUUCAUUGCUACGUACUAGUGCUGCCAAUAAAACUUCUGGCUGCGUGCAAAUCUAGAUCUCCGUUCCACUUCUUGGGCCAGUGUUACAGUUAUAAUAUAAUCUUUGUUAUCAUAUAAUGUUAUCAAUGUAUAUUAAAGCUGUUAAGGUAUGUUAGGAUAUUAAGGUAUACGAAUUACAUGGUGAUUAUGAAUGUUAUAUGAAUGCAUUGUAAAUGUAUAAUGUAGGUGCAGUUAAUGUAAAGUGUUACUGAAUAUAUACUAAUAAAUAGUUAUACAACAAAAAGAGACAAGAAUGUCAACUAUUCUCCAAGAAGUUACUUAUUUUAUGGAUGGAUAGAACAACAUGACAUCCAUUCCAAAAUAUUUCUAAAAUCGGCAAGAAAUAUUUUUCAGGAUCUGUGUUUUCCAUUGUGACUCUCAAAGCGCUGUCAUCAUCAACAUUUUGCUUUUCAGGUAAAGACUCCAACAGCAAGACUGUGGUACAGCAGCCUGUGUCUGACACUGUGUCUGACACAGACUCUGUGAGUCUGCAGUGUACGAUAGAGACAGGGAGCUGUGCAGGAGAACACAGUGUUUACUGGUUCAGACAUUGUUAGAGUGUAUCUGUGUAUUUUAUCAUAUUAUUAUCCUCCUAUAUGUGUACGUGCAACCCUUAACAACUAACCCAUGGCCCAGAAAGGGUUGCAGACAAGAUGUCCUCACAGGGGCCUACCAGAUUGUGACGCAGGAAUAAGAGACCUUGAGAAAGGAAACAGAUUCUGUCAACAUAGCAGGGGGCCCACCUUGAGAUAUGUAAUGCUUUGUAUUAACCCUGUUUCACGGAGGCCUCACACAGCAUUGACUAGUUUAAAGACAAGACCCAUGUAACCCCUCCCCUACCCUAUAAAUAAAGAAGCCAAGGGACUGUCCGGUGUGACACUCAACAGAGGCGCAGAUACUGUCUGUUGCACCUGAAGUGGGCACCCUUGCGCAAGUAAAACAGAAA